Molecule: ribosomal RNA, 705 nt
Filed under: Clostridioides difficile
Lineage: Bacteria; Bacillati; Bacillota; Clostridia; Peptostreptococcales; Peptostreptococcaceae
Description: bacterial LSU rRNA
Rfam family: Bacterial large subunit ribosomal RNA
Source: RNAcentral
AACUCACUUAGAGUAAUGUCUAAGUAUCAUUAAGUGAAUACAUAGCUUAAUGAGGGGAACUCAGGGAACUGAAACAUCUAAGUACCUGAAGGAAGAGAAAGAAAUUCGAUUCCGUAAGUAGCGGCGAGCGAACGCGGAUUAGCCCAAACCAAUAAAGUUUUCUUUAUUGGGGUUGCGGACAUAUCAUAACGAAGAGGUAUCGUAAUUGAAGAGGUUUGGAAAGACCCACCACAGAAGGUAAUAGUCCUGUAUGUUAAACGAGAAGACUUUAGAUAUGAUCCAGAGUACCACGGGACACGUGAAACCCUGUGGGAAGCAGGAGGGACCACCCUCCAAGGCUAAAUACUACCUAGUGACCGAUAGCGUAUAGUACCGUGAGGGAAAGGUGAAAAGAACCCCGGGAGGGGAGUGAAAUAGAACCUGAAACCCUGCACUUACAAGCUGUGGAAGCACAUUUCUUGUGUGACCGCGUACUUUUUGUAGAACGGGCCAACGAGUUACGUUAAGUAGCAAGGUUAAGCACUUAAGGUGCGGAGCCGUAGCGAAAGCGAGUUUUAACUGAGCGUUCAGUUACUUGACGUAGACCCGAAACCGGGCGACCUACCCAUGAGCAGGAUGAAGCGAAAGUAAAAUUUCGUGGAGGUCCGAACCCACGAGCGUUGAAAAGCUCGGGGAUGACUUGUGGGUAGCGGUGAAAUUCCAAUC